CAGCAGCCGCGGUAAAACGUAGGUGGCAAGCGUUGUCCGGAAUUAUUGGGCGUAAAGGGCUCGCAGGCGGUUUCCUAAGUCUGAUGUGAAAGCCCCCGGCUCAACCGGGGAGGGUCAUUGGAAACUGGGAAACUUGAGUGCAGAAGAGGAGAGUGGAAUUCCACGUGUAGCGGUGAAAUGCGUAGAGAUGUGGAGGAACACCAGUGGCGAAGGCGACUCUCUGGUCUGUAACUGACGCUGAGGAGCGAAAGCGUGGGGAGCGAACAGGAUUAGAUACCCGCGUAGUCCCUGUCUCUUAUAA
RNAcentral lists this ribosomal RNA (301 nucleotides) under uncultured bacterium. Its description in RNAcentral is "partial 16S ribosomal RNA". It matches the Rfam family "Bacterial small subunit ribosomal RNA", at positions 509 to 809 of the family's 1533-position model. The record is from RNAcentral.